UGGAGGGAUAAAUAGGUAGGUGGGUUGGGAUGAAAAAAAAGAUUGGUGGGGCAGUGAAUUGUGAAAGUAGGCUGCCUACGCAAAUACAACCAUGCUGGUACCUUUCCCGUGCCGUAGCAUAAAAAAUCCCUACCAUAUGUGAUGGCACGACUUUGGAAGUGUUACCAAGGUAAAAUAAAAUCAUGUGUUAAUAAAAAUGACAGUCUACAACAAGGCACACAAAUGGGCUAUUAUUGUAAAGUUAUGUAGUCAGAUGGGCAAGGCAGUUUUAUUUGCAGCUGAAUGGAACCAUGUCAAAUAGGAAGACACUUUAAGAGGUCAAUAUGUACUUCCUUGGCUAGGAGAUUUU
RNAcentral lists this long non-coding RNA (349 nucleotides) under Setaria viridis. RNAcentral's name for it is "long non-coding RNA (SVIR_LNC000014)". Lineage: Eukaryota; Viridiplantae; Streptophyta; Magnoliopsida; Poales; Poaceae. The record is from RNAcentral.